This 396-nucleotide ribosomal RNA is filed under the name uncultured bacterium. RNAcentral's name for it is "partial 16S ribosomal RNA". It matches the Rfam family "Bacterial small subunit ribosomal RNA", at positions 359 to 774 of the family's 1533-position model. The record is from RNAcentral.
GAUAUUGCACAAUGGGGGAAACCCUGAUGCAGCGACGCCGCGUGAUGGAAGAAGGCCUCCGGGUCGUAAAGCUCUGUUUCGAGGGAAGAAAAUGACGGUACCUCGGGAGAAAGCCCCGGCUAACUACGUGCCAGCAGCCGCGGUCAUACGUAGGCGGGAAGCGUUAUCCGGAAGCAUUGGGCGUAAAGGGGGCGUAGGUGGUCAAUAAAGGCAGAGGUUGAAAGCUAGGGCUCAACCAUAGUAAGACUUUGAAACUUAUUGACUUGAGUGCAGGAGAGAGGGGUGGGAUUCCUAGUGUAGCGGUGAAAUGCGUAGAUAUUAGGAGGAACACCAGUGGCGAAGGAGACUCUCUGGACUGUAACUGACGCUGAGGCACGAAAGCGUGGGUAGCGAACA